This 271-nucleotide ribosomal RNA is filed under the name uncultured Eubacteriales bacterium. Its description in RNAcentral is "uncultured Clostridiales bacterium partial 16S ribosomal RNA". It matches the Rfam family "Bacterial small subunit ribosomal RNA", at positions 61 to 339 of the family's 1533-position model. The record is from RNAcentral. Lineage: Bacteria; Bacillati; Bacillota; Clostridia; Eubacteriales.
UUCGGCCAAAUGACUUUUGAACUUAGUGGCGGACGGGUGAGUAACGCGUGAGCAACCUGCCUUUAUCAGGGGGAUAACGCAUCGAAAGAUGUGCUAAUACCGCGUAAGACCACAGCUUCACAUGGAGCGGGGGUCAAAGGAGCAAUCCGGAUAAAGAUGGGCUCGCGUCCGAUUAGCUAGUUGGUGAGAUAACAGCCCACCAAGGCGACGAUCGGUAGCCGACCUGAGAGGGCGACCGGCCACAUUGGGACUGAGACACGGCCCAGACUCC